AUCCAGAUGAAGAGUCUCAAAUAAGACAAAAGGUUCGUCCUGAAU
This 45-nucleotide non-coding RNA is filed under the name Schistosoma margrebowiei. The record is from RNAcentral. Lineage: Eukaryota; Metazoa; Platyhelminthes; Trematoda; Strigeidida; Schistosomatidae.